CCUACGGGAGGCAGCAGUGAGGAAUAUUGGUCAAUGGACGAGAGUCUGAACCAGCCAAGUAGCGUGAAGGAUGACUGCCCUAUGGGUUGUAAACUUCUUUUAUAUGGGAAUAAAAUGUUCCACGUGUGGGAUUUUGUAUGUACCAUAUGACUAAGGAUCGGCUAACUCCGUGCCAGCAGCCGCGGUAAUACGGAGGAUCCGAGCGUUAUCCGGAUUUAUUGGGUGUAAAGGGAGCGUAGGUGGAGUGUUAAGUCAGUUGUGAAAGUUUGCGGCUCAACCGUAAAAUUGCAGUUGAAACUGGCAGUCUUGAGUACAGUAGAGGUGGGCGGAAUUCGUGGUGUAGCGGUGAAAUGCUUAGAUAUCACGAAGAACUCCGAUUGCGAAGGCAGUUCACUGGACUGCAACUGACACUGAGGCUCGAAAGUGUGGGUAUCAAACAGGAUUAGAUACCCGAGUAGUC
RNAcentral lists this ribosomal RNA (460 nucleotides) under uncultured bacterium. RNAcentral describes it as "partial 16S ribosomal RNA". It matches the Rfam family "Bacterial small subunit ribosomal RNA", at positions 338 to 795 of the family's 1533-position model. The record is from RNAcentral.